GAUGAACGCUGGCGGCGUGCCUAAUACAUGCAAGUCGAGCGAACGGACGAGAAGCUUGCUUCUCUGAUGUUAGCGGCGGACGGGUGAGUAACACGUGGAUAACCUACCUAUAAGACUGGGAUAACUUCGGGAAACCGGAGCUAAUACCGGAUGAUAUUUUGAACCGCAUGGUUCAAAAGUGAAAGACGGUCUUGCUGUCACUUAUAGAUGGAUCCGCGCUGCAUUAGCUAGUUGGUAAGGUAACGGCUUACCAAGGCAACGAUGCAUAGCCGACCUGAGAGAGUGAUCGGCCACACUGGAGCGGAGACACGGUCCAGACUCCUACGGGAGGCAGCAGUAGGGAAUCUUCCGCAGUGGGCGGAAGCCUGACGGAGCAACGCCGCGUGAGUGAUGAAGGUCUUCGGAUCGUAAAACUCUGUUAUUAGGUAAGAACAUAUGUGUAAGUAACUGUGCACAUCUUGACGGUACCUAAUCAGAAAGCCACGGCUAACUACGUG
RNAcentral lists this ribosomal RNA (497 nucleotides) under uncultured bacterium. RNAcentral describes it as "partial 16S ribosomal RNA". It matches the Rfam family "Bacterial small subunit ribosomal RNA", at positions 28 to 507 of the family's 1533-position model. The record is from RNAcentral.